AUGACCAUGUUUACUAUAGUAUUGAUACUAUUUUCACUUCUUAAGGACAUUGCUAAUGCAUAUACAAUAGAAUCUCUCUCAGCUGAAAAGCAUGUUUCAGAGGGAGAAAAUGCUGUGAUUUCUUGUAAAUACAGUGGUGUUGGACCAAGCUUCCAGUGGUACCGUCAAUAUCCAGGAUCCAGACCAGUGUACCUUAUUUUUAACACAGAGACUGGUGUUGGAUCUGAACCCACUUUACGUCUCACGUCGAUGGCCAAAAAAGCACUCACUCAAGUGGAUCUGGAGAUCUUCUCUACUAAAGCGACAGACUCUGCUGUGUAUUACUGUGCCCUGCAGCCCACAGUGACUGGAAACAGACCUGCUCCUUACAAAAACUGUGCUUAA
This is a non-coding RNA of Danio aesculapii, 384 nucleotides long. NCBI's taxonomy places the organism in Eukaryota, Metazoa, Chordata, Actinopteri, Cypriniformes, Danionidae. The record is from the annotation of a RefSeq genome assembly.